Long non-coding RNA from Cyprinus carpio (common carp), 731 nucleotides. The record is from Ensembl. NCBI's taxonomy places the organism in Eukaryota, Metazoa, Chordata, Actinopteri, Cypriniformes, Cyprinidae.
CAUAUUUCAAACUGACAGUACAAUCACUUCAUCAUCAUGCUGAUAGAAGCUGCUGAUCCAGAUCAUACGCACUUCACGGGACAGGACAGAGAAUCUGUCAGGAACUGUUGCACAGUCGACAACAGCCAGUUCUCAAUCCGCAGACCACGCCAUCAAUGGUGCAUAUGCAUAUCGAGUAAACACAGUGGUCGUCACUUACAGAGAUGACAGCGUUCCAGGAAGAACAAAAGAUAUCCAGGUUAAAUUUGGAAACUCUCUGCAGAACGAUGGAAACUACAAUACCAGAUUCUUCCAGGCGAUUUUUCAUGAAGAUAGUGUUUAACUCCACCACUAAUCUGACCGACCCGACAGUAACAGACAACGUGCUUAAAGAGUUAAAGUCAGUGCUGGCUCUGAGAGGAAUCCCUAAUGUGACGCUGAGCUGGUCUCAAAACCUUGAAGAAGCAGUGAUCCAUAAUCUGCACAAAAACGGUGAGUCUGUUUUUACAACCAGCGAUCUAAUGUGAAAGAGAAACAUUGUAAAAUCCAGAAACAAUGUAAAACUCUGUGAUUUUCAUUUCUAGAUGCCUGCUGAAGCAGAUGUCAGACUCUGGGACUUCUCUGAGGAGUAACAGCCAUCAUGAGUUUAAUUUCAUUAUAUUAUAUUCAUUAUAUCCAUCUCACAGUCACUGCAAACAUGCUGUUUUUAUUAACUCUCUGAAACAUGAAUAAACAUGAAGAAAAGAAAAGGG